This 36-nucleotide transfer RNA is filed under the name Paraboea capitata. RNAcentral's name for it is "partial transfer RNA-Phe". Lineage: Eukaryota; Viridiplantae; Streptophyta; Magnoliopsida; Lamiales; Gesneriaceae. The record is from RNAcentral. RNAcentral also lists the same sequence under 5 other names.
UGGUCGGGAUAGCUCAGCUGGUAGAGCAGAGGACUG